GGAUUGUUCACCCACCAAUAGGGAACGUGAGCUGGGUUUAGACCGUCAUGAGACAGGUUAGUUUUACCCUACUGAUGGCCGUGUCGCAAUAGUAAUUCAACUUAGUACGAGAGGAGCCGUUGAUUCGCACAAUUGGUCAUCGCGCUUGGUUGAAAAGUCGGUGGCGCGAAGCUAUGUCGCUAGAUUAUGACUGAACGCCUCUAAGUUAGAAUCCAGGCUAGAAGUGACGCACGCGCCCAUCGCCCGAUUGCCGACCCUCAGUAGGGGCCUUUGCCCCCAAGGGCACGUGUCAUAGGUGCAGCGACUGCGGCAGACAAGUCGCGGGCGCCUCCUUGGAGCGUAAUUCCCACCGAGCGGCGGGUAGAAUCCUUUACAGACUACUUAAAUACGUGACGGGGUAUUGUAAGUGGCAGACUGGCCUUGCUGGCACGAUCCACUGAGAUUCAGCCCUUUGUCGCUUCGAUUCGU
RNAcentral lists this non-coding RNA (468 nucleotides) under Gossypium arboreum. RNAcentral describes it as "Eukaryotic large subunit ribosomal RNA". It matches the Rfam family "Eukaryotic large subunit ribosomal RNA", at positions 2926 to 3401 of the family's 3401-position model. Lineage: Eukaryota; Viridiplantae; Streptophyta; Magnoliopsida; Malvales; Malvaceae. The record is from Rfam by way of RNAcentral.